ACUCCAGCAAGCCCGCAGUUGAAAAAGGGCCGAGUAAAGCUCGGCCAUGUUCUUGAACUCCCUCCAGACACAAGCAUUUCCAGACUCCUCCCUAGGCUUGUAGGUAGAGAAGCCUGGACCACAGAGUUCGACAGAGCUCUCCCCUAGAAAGAUUUUACAGCUAUGCCCCUCUCAACGCAUCGAAAACUCAAGUACUGAUGGAGGUUAGAGAGUAGCUCGCA
RNAcentral lists this long non-coding RNA (221 nucleotides) under Elaeis guineensis (African oil palm). Its description in RNAcentral is "long non-coding RNA (EGUI_LNC066731)". Lineage: Eukaryota; Viridiplantae; Streptophyta; Magnoliopsida; Arecales; Arecaceae. The record is from RNAcentral.